RNAcentral lists this transfer RNA (84 nucleotides) under Saccharicrinis fermentans. It matches the Rfam family "tRNA". Rfam says of the family: Transfer RNA (tRNA) molecules are approximately 80 nucleotides in length. Their secondary structure includes four short double-helical elements and three loops (D, anti-codon, and T loops). Lineage: Bacteria; Pseudomonadati; Bacteroidota; Bacteroidia; Marinilabiliales; Marinilabiliaceae. The record is from RNAcentral. RNAcentral also lists the same sequence under 1 other name.
GCCCAGAUGGUGAAAUUGGUAGACACGUUGGCUUCAGGAGCCAAUGCUCGUAAGGGUGUGCAGGUUCGAGUCCUGUUCUGGGCA